Molecule: ribosomal RNA, 468 nt
Filed under: uncultured bacterium
Lineage: Bacteria
Description: partial 16S ribosomal RNA
Rfam family: Bacterial small subunit ribosomal RNA
Source: RNAcentral
GACGAACGCUGGCGGCGUGCUUAACACAUGCAAGUCGAACGGAAAGGCCCUGCUUUUGUGGGGUGCUCGAGUGGCGAACGGGUGAGUAACACGUGAGUAACCUGCCCUUGACUUUGGGAUAACUUCAGGAAACUGGGGCUAAUACCGGAUAGGAGCUCCUGCUGCAUGGUGGGGGUUGGAAAGUUUCGGCGGUUGGGGAUGGACUCGCGGCUUAUCAGCUUGUUGGUGGGGUAGUGGCUUACAAAGACUUUGACGGGUAGCCGGCCUGAGAGGGUGACCGGCCACAUUGGGACUGAGAUACGGCCCAGACUCCUACGGGAGGCAGCAGUGGGGAAUAUUGCACAAUGGGCGGAAGCCUGAUGCAGCAACGCCGCGUGCGGGAUGACGGCCUUCGGGUUGUAAACCGCUUUCGCCUGUGACGAAGCGUGAGUGACGGUAAUGGGUAAAGAAGCACCGGCUAACUACGUG